RNAcentral lists this transfer RNA (73 nucleotides) under Stegodyphus mimosarum. It matches the Rfam family "tRNA". From Rfam's summary of the family: Transfer RNA (tRNA) molecules are approximately 80 nucleotides in length. Their secondary structure includes four short double-helical elements and three loops (D, anti-codon, and T loops). The record is from Rfam by way of RNAcentral. Lineage: Eukaryota; Metazoa; Arthropoda; Arachnida; Araneae; Eresidae.
GCCUUCGUGGUGUAGUGGUCAGCACGCUCGACGCGUAACCGAGAGGUCCGUGGUUCGAUUCCCGGCGACAGCG